CCUACGGGGGGCAGCAGUGGGGAAUAUUGGACAAUGGGGGCAACCCUGAUCCAGCCAUGCCGCGUGUGUGAAGAAGGCCCUCGGGUUGUAAAGCACUUUCAGUGAGGAAGAACGCCUGGUGGUUAAUACCCAUCAGGAAAGACAUCACUCACAGAAGAAGCACCGGCUAACUCCGUGCCAGCAGCCGCGGUAAUACGGAGGGUGCGAGCGUUAAUCGGAAUUACUGGGCGUAAAGCGCGCGUAGGUGGCUUGAUAAGCCGGUUGUGAAAGCCCCGGGCUCAACCUGGGAACGGCAUCCGGAACUGUCAAGCUAGAGUGCAGGAGAGGAAGGUAGAAUUCCCGGUGUAGCGGUGAAAUGCGUAGAGAUCGGGAGGAAUACCAGUGGCGAAGGCGGCCUUCUGGCCUGUCACUGACACUGAGGUGCGAAAGCGUGGGUAGCAAACAGGAUUAGAUACCCCAGUAGUC
Molecule: ribosomal RNA, 465 nt
Filed under: Vreelandella stevensii
Lineage: Bacteria; Pseudomonadati; Pseudomonadota; Gammaproteobacteria; Oceanospirillales; Halomonadaceae
Description: partial 16S ribosomal RNA
Rfam family: Bacterial small subunit ribosomal RNA
Source: RNAcentral